This 1124-nucleotide long non-coding RNA is filed under the name Brachypodium distachyon (stiff brome). RNAcentral's name for it is "long non-coding RNA (BDIS_LNC002494)". The record is from RNAcentral. Lineage: Eukaryota; Viridiplantae; Streptophyta; Magnoliopsida; Poales; Poaceae.
UGUACAGCGAACUCGCCUCGUUUCGUCAACACGCUGCGGACGAGGGGGUGUGUCGUGCGUUGUGACGUAAAGGGGUGGGGAGCCCCACGGAUGGGUCACCUAAUCUGAUCUCAGCGAACUGGUGGAAAUCACGUCACUGGACAGCCCGGGCAUAUUCUGGGGCUGUUUGGUUCGCGUGGAAUACAACCCUACCAAAUGCUGACGACUUGCCAAUUUUUUUGUUAAGGAUUUUUUGGUCCUCAUUUUGUCAACUAUUUGAAAGAAUAUGUGAGAGAGGUGGGAUGAAUCAUAUUGGCAAUCAAAAUUUUGGCAAUGAAGCAAACAACAACCAAAUAACCAUAGGUUUCCAAAUUUUUGACAAGACUGGUUGGGGGCACAAACCAAACAGCCCUUUUGUUCCAGCCGAAUCCAGAGGCCUUGCAACCCAACAAUGCUUAGACGAGAUUUGAUCGCUUCUUUUUUUUGUUCUCUAUUUUUUGAAAUUGAUUUUCUUAUAAGUUGUCUGUAUUUUUUUUAAUCAAAUGUCAGUCAUCAAGAGUUUUCACCUCGGAAUUGUCUUAUUUGAACACUAUCGCCGCGAGAGUAAUGGUGUAGCUUAUACUUUAACUAGACAUACGAUUUGGCCUCAUCGCAUUGUUUGGCAUGAUGAUUGGCCAUAUUUUAUUUCAAGUUUGUUAGAGAAGAUGUAAGAUUGUCAUCCAAUCAAUAAAUCUGCCAUGAUCGAUGGCUUUCUUUCUCUCAAAAAAUAGAGUUUUCACCUAGGAAUUGAAUAGUUGUAUUGAUGUUUCAAUCCACACCCUAUAAGUCAGAUCAAGAUGUUUCACCCAUGUGGAUCAGAGCGGUGGUCGACCGACACGAUAAUACACUCACAUUGCUAGAUCAGAUGAGUGAGGACCAGACUGCCAAUUACAACAAGGCCACGAUAUAUCAUCUUCCACCUUGUCAAGACCCAUGCUCUAUAGAGAGAGAAACCCCUACGCCCAACGCGCUAACAAUGUCGGUUCCAAAAGAGGGCGCGAUCCGAUAGCAUUGGGGUCGCUAUCUCACGACACAACCAAUAUUAGGAAGCCGUCAUUGGUAUAAAUGCAACCUCACAUGCCAUAGAUUGAAUCAUCAAAAAAAGG